CCUACGGGAGGCAGCAGUGGAGAAUUUUGGACAAUGGGCGCAAGCCUGAUCCAGCCAUGCCGCGUGUGGGAAGAAGGCCUUCGGGUUGUAAACCACUUUUGUCUGGGAAGAAGCGGCUCUUACUAAUAUUAGGAGCUAAUGACGGUACCUGAAGAAUAAGCACCGGCUAACUACGUGCCAGCAGCCGCGGUAAUACGUAGGGUGCAAGCGUUAAUCGGAAUUACUGGGCGUAAAGCGUGCACAGGCGGUUGAGCAAGACCGAUGUGAAAUCCCCGGGCUUAACCUGGGAAUGGCAUUGGUGACUGCACGGCUAGAGUGUGUCAGAGGGGGGUAGAAUUCCACGUGUAGCAGUGAAAUGCGUAGAGAUGUGGAGGAAUACCGAUGGCGAAGGCAGCCCCCUGGGAUAACACUGACGCUCAUGCACGAAAGCGUGGGGAGCAAACAGGAUUAGAUACCCUGGUAGUCCACGCUGUAAACGAUGAGUGCUAGGUGUUGGGGGUAUCAUGCCCUCGGUGCCGAAGUUAACACAUUAAGCACUCCGCCUGGGGAGUACGGUCGCAAGACUGAAACUCAAAGGAAUUGACGG
Molecule: ribosomal RNA, 586 nt
Filed under: uncultured bacterium
Lineage: Bacteria
Description: bacterial SSU rRNA
Rfam family: Bacterial small subunit ribosomal RNA
Source: RNAcentral